AAUCAAUGACUCUUCUUUACUAUCCUCAACUUAUUCCCUAAUCCAAUCAAAUAAUCAGAAGAUAAAAAAAUCAAAAUAAGAAAAAGUUUAGGAUAGUAAACUUGAGCCCUUGAUUAAUCGAAUUCAAUCGCAAAAAUUAAAACAAAGAAACACGCAUUGCCAAUCACUCCCUUGACAAUGUGUGUAUCUUUGUUUUAAUCCAGACCAUUAAAUUUGAAUAAUCAAUGAAUCUUUUUUACUAUCCUCAACUUAUUCUCUCAUCAAAUCAAAUAAUCAUAAAAAAAUAAAAAAUAAAAAUAUAAGAAAGUUGAGGAUAGUAAACUUGAGCUCUUGAUUAAUCGGAAUCAAUGGCCAUGAUUAAAACAAAGAGUCACACAUUGUCAAACACCCUCUUGACAAUUUGUGUUUCUUUGUUUUAAUCAUGAUUAUUGAAUUUUAAUCAAAGGCUCUUGUUUACUAUCUUAAACUUAUUCUCCCAUCCAAUCAAUAAUCAGAAAAUAAAAAAAUCUAAAUAAGAAAAAGUUU
Molecule: long non-coding RNA, 525 nt
Filed under: Lathyrus oleraceus (garden pea)
Lineage: Eukaryota; Viridiplantae; Streptophyta; Magnoliopsida; Fabales; Fabaceae
Description: Pisum sativum (pea) long non-coding RNA (PSAT_LNC012693)
Source: RNAcentral